UACGUAGGGUCCAAGCGUUGUCCGGAUUUAUUGGGCGUAAAGAGCUCGUAGGCGGUUUCGUAAGUCGGAUGUGAAAACUCAGGGCUCAACCCGGAGACGCCAUCUGAUACUGCGAUGACUUGAGUCUGGUAGGGGAACACGGAAUUCCUGGUGUAGCGGUGAAAUGCGCAGAUAUCAGGAGGAACACCGAUGGCGAAGGCAGUGUUCUGGGCCAGUACUGACGCUGAGGAGCGAAAGCGUGGGGAGCAAACAGG
RNAcentral lists this non-coding RNA (254 nucleotides) under uncultured bacterium. RNAcentral describes it as "partial 16S ribosomal RNA". It matches the Rfam family "Bacterial small subunit ribosomal RNA", at positions 524 to 776 of the family's 1533-position model. The record is from RNAcentral. RNAcentral also lists the same sequence under 3 other names.